GUUCUCAAGGCUAACGCUCCGAGCGCCCACCGCUUCUCCCUGGGCUUCCGCUGCUGCUCACACGCGGGCUCUGUGGCAAGGAAGGAAGCUGCUCUGGGAAUUGGACUUCACAGAUGGACAUCAGAACUCCUGGGAUCUUAAGUCCGGGAAAGAAGAAAGCAAAGGCUCAGGGUUUUAAGGAUACAGACGGUGAGAAGACAGCCACCUACAAGCCAGGAAGAGGGCCUGCACCCUCAUCUCAUACUUCUCAGCCUUCAGAACUGUGAGAAAUAAGCAUCUGUUUUUUAAGCACCAGUCCAAUUGUACCUUGUCAUAACAGCCCAAACUGUGAG
This is a long non-coding RNA of Tupaia belangeri chinensis (Chinese tree shrew), 332 nucleotides long. RefSeq lists it as uncharacterized. The record is from RefSeq and is a predicted model, not a curated record. NCBI's taxonomy places the organism in Eukaryota, Metazoa, Chordata, Mammalia, Scandentia, Tupaiidae. The transcript has 3 exons.